Molecule: unclassified non-coding RNA, 2586 nt
Filed under: Hevea brasiliensis (rubber tree)
Lineage: Eukaryota; Viridiplantae; Streptophyta; Magnoliopsida; Malpighiales; Euphorbiaceae
Source: RNAcentral
AUCACAAAAGACGGAUCGAAUUGUAAAGCAAAGCAGAGGAACCACAUGUUAUCAAACCACGAAAUGACACCAUCUCGUACAAUUACAGUUGUAUCCUCUUCUUUAAGCCACCCACCACCGUUCGCAUCCCCCACAACACAAAGAAAAAUAUCUCAUCCACCAACCUGCAUCCCCUCCCCUUUUAUCCAACAACAACUACAACAACAAGAAAGAAAGAAAGAAAAAAUAUGGCGGUGGUGAUCAUAGAUGGCUCAACAGUACGUGACUUCGUGAACGAUGAAGCCCACUUCAAGAAGAGCGUGGAUGAAACUUUUGCCAAGCUUGACCUCAACAGCGAUGGAGUUUUGUCCCGUUCUGAGCUUCGAAAGGCUUUCGAGACCAUGCGUUUGAUCGAAUCCCACUUUGGAAUCGACAUCGUUACCCCUCCAGAGCAGCUCACCCAGUUGUAUGACUCCAUAUUUGAGAAAUUUGAUUGUGAUAAGAGUGGAACGGUUGAUCUUGAAGAGUUUAGGUCUGAGAUCAAGAAGAUCUUGCUUGCUAUUGCUGAUGGUUUGGGCUCAAGUCCUAUCCAGAUGGCUCUUGAGGAUGAUAACCAGAACUUUCUCAAGCAAGCAGCUGAUCUUGAAGCCUCUAAGCUUCACCAGCCUUCUCCUGCUUAAUUAUCCCUGCCUUUGCUCAUACUUGUACUGUCAAAUACUGUAGCCUGUAUUGUGUUGCUGCUACUUUCUAUGUUUUCCAUAAUUGAAAUAAAAUUUUGGCCUAUCUUAAUUUCUUUAAUUCUCACCCAUAAAAGGAUGGAAUGGCUAUUCAGAUGAAUCUGUACUAUGCUGCAAUUCAGAUGGUAAAUGGCAAUACAGGCUCUAACAAAGGUUGCAAAUGGCAAUUCAAUUCCAAGAGGGGCUAAGAAUGAUGUCUAUUCAGUCACAGAAUGCAAGUGUUUCCAUUUACAUACCUGUUCAUUACUGCUUGAAAGGGUCAUUGGAGGCAUUCAUAAUCAAACUAGUAGAACAAUCGUCAACUUUCACAACUGUGACUAUUGCCCUACGGUAACAAUAAAGAUGCACAAGAAGAAACUUGCACGAAAAAUAUAUAACCAACAAUUUCAAUCGAGUGCAGAUCCCUGUCGGAGGUUGUCAAGCAAAAGCAACAGCCUGUCAACAGUCAGAAUCGAAGAAGAAACUAAAGGGUAACGAGGAUUUGCUUGGAAAAUGUAGCAUAUAAACUGACAAUGUCAGCAACAAACAUUUUUCCAACGAUCUCAUUCCAUAGAAAAUCCACAUAAUUUGGAGUGCCUAAUUAGCAUCAUCAUCAUCAAUUGCAUCAUUUGAACUGGAGUCAUCAUCAUCAGGUAGACUUUCCAAACUGGUAGAUUGCCCUAGACAAGUUGUAAAUGAAUAAGAUUUUAUACAUGGAAUGGUAAAAACUUGAAGCUGAAACACAGUUGAAUUAAUGACCUGCCGUGUCAAGUGGCUGCAGCCAAUCUUGAAGACAUAUCAAGGCUUGUAUUGUCUUCUGUUUUAGUGAAUUUCGACAUGGGUUUAUCACCGGACAACAUAUAGCCUUCAGACCUCCAUUUGGUAGCAUUGGAAGUUUUUCAAAGACAUCCCACACCUUAGACAUUGUUUUUGUCCGCUUAAAGGAGGUCUCAUAUUCUUCAGUAUCCACACCUAAAGUUUCAGUACUUGCAAUUGUAUCUUUCUUGAAAAUAUCUGCGAGAUGUAAGAGUUGUUCAAAUUAUAAGAAAGCAACAAACCUGUUUAAGAUGCAAGAUAUAUUACAAAAUAGCACAUUACAAGAGAAAGUUCAGAUUGUAACAUGCAGGAAAAGAAAGGUAAGUUGUACAAUCCACUCAUUUGAAAUCAAAAUAAUAAACUAUUCAACUUAGUAAAGAAGUAAAACCAUAUGAAAGAAAGUGAAAUUGCAAAUGAAAGAAAAUCCUUCCAUAAUUGUUACGAGAAAACAUGAAAUAUCAUAAAGGGGAUGGAUGAACAAGAGCUCCCAAAACGACUUUUAAUUGUCAAGUCUUAUGCAGCCUACAAGGUCAUCCUUUUUAAUGGGUCAAGCAAACAAAAAGAUUAGGUAAGAAUUCCUUACUACAAAGCAUGAAUAGAUAGGGCGGAUCCUUAUUUAUUAAGAAGCCUUUGUUUAGAUCCUCCUCCAAAUCAGGUCUACAUGAAUGAAACUUUGCAAUAUUUGUAAAAGUGCAGCACAAAUUCAGCAUAUCAACUAUAUGAAUGACUGAAAGAGAAACCAAUAAUCUGUAAUAGUAAUAGUAUUUUAGCAUUGAACCAAGUCCUCUAUACGCUGCAGUCGCCCCUUAGCUGUCUCGCACUGGUCUUCUUCCACUUAUAUUUUCUAGGCAGUGAGUGGUGUUAAGAUCCCAUACUGAUUUGAAAUAAGGGUAAUAUGCCCCAUAUAUGAUCUUGGACACUCCUCCCAUUUUGAGCUAGCUUUUAGAGUAAGUCAGGCCCCGCCUAUUUUCUUAUAAUAGUAUCAGAGCCUCCCCAAUCAAUGUUUAGGCCUUCCAUGAGUAUUUCACGCUCCAGUGUUCGAUCCUGAGCGUGAGGGGGUGUGUUGAGAUCCCAC